This 755-nucleotide ribosomal RNA is filed under the name Bacillus subtilis. RNAcentral's name for it is "bacterial SSU rRNA". It matches the Rfam family "Bacterial small subunit ribosomal RNA", at positions 1 to 740 of the family's 1533-position model. The record is from RNAcentral. Lineage: Bacteria; Bacillati; Bacillota; Bacilli; Caryophanales; Bacillaceae.
UUUGUUUUGAUAUUUUCUCGCUCAGGACGAACGCUGGCGGCGUGCCUAAUACAUGCAAGUCGAGCGGACAGAUGGGAGCUUGCUCCCUGAUGUUAGCGGCGGACGGGUGAGUAACACGUGGGUAACCUGCCUGUAAGACUGGGAUAACUCCGGGAAACCGGGGCUAAUACCGGAUGCUUGUUUGAACCGCAUGGUUCAAACAUAAAAGGUGGCUUCGGCUACCACUUACAGAUGGACCCGCGGCGCAUUAGCUAGUUGGUGAGGUAAUGGCUCACCAAGGCAACGAUGCGUAGCCGACCUGAGAGGGUGAUCGGCCACACUGGGACUGAGACACGGCCCAGACUCCUACGGGAGGCAGCAGUAGGGAAUCUUCCGCAAUGGACGAAAGUCUGACGGAGCAACGCCGCGUGAGUGAUGAAGGUUUUCGGAUCGUAAAGCUCUGUUGUUAGGGAAGAACAAGUACCGUUCGAAUAGGGCGGUACCUUGACGGUACCUAACCAGAAAGCCACGGCUAACUACGUGCCAGCAGCCGCGGUAAUACGUAGGUGGCAAGCGUUGUCCGGAAUUAUUGGGCGUAAAGGGCUCGCAGGCGGUUUCUUAAGUCUGAUGUGAAAGCCCCCGGCUCAACCGGGGAGGGUCAUUGGAAACUGGGGAACUUGAGUGCAGAAGAGGAGAGUGGAAUUCCACGUGUAGCGGUGAAAUGCGUAGAGAUGUGGAGGAACACCAGUGGCGAAGGCGACUCUCUGGUCUGUAAC